CAGCCGCCCGCGGUAACACCUGCAGCUCAAGUGGUAGCCGAUUUUAUUGGGUCCUAAGCGUCCGUAGCCGGGCUGGCAAGUCCUUUGUGAAAUCUGGCGGCUCAACCGUUCGGCUUGCAAGGGAAACUGUCGGCCUUGGGGCCGGGAGACGCUGAAGGUACUCUGGGGGUAGGGGUGAAAUGCUGUAAUCCUCGGGGGACCACCARUGGCGAAGGCRYUCWRCSAGAACGGAYCCGACGGUGAGGGACGAAAGCUGGGGGAGCGAACCGGAUUAGAUACCCGGGUAGUCCCAGCCGUAAACGAUGCUCGCUAGGUGUUGGGGACGCUUCGACCGCAUCAGGUGCCGCAGGGAAGCCGUUAAGCGUGCCACCUGGGAAGUACGGCCGCAAGGCUGAAACUUAAAGGAAUUGGCGGGGGAGCAC
This 422-nucleotide ribosomal RNA is filed under the name uncultured euryarchaeote. RNAcentral describes it as "bacterial SSU rRNA". It matches the Rfam family "Archaeal small subunit ribosomal RNA", at positions 459 to 879 of the family's 1478-position model. The record is from RNAcentral. Lineage: Archaea; Methanobacteriati; Methanobacteriota.